GGAAUUGACGGGACCGCACAAGCGGUGGAUGAUGUGGUUUAAUUCGAUGCAACGCGAAAACCUUACCCACCUUUGACAUGUACGGAAUCCUUUAGAGAUAGAGGAGUGCUCGAAAGAGAGCCGUAACACAGGUGCUGCAUGGCUGUCGUCAGCUCGUGUCGUGAGAUGUUGGGUUAAGUCCCAUAACGAGCGCAACCCUUACCGUUAGUUACCAUCAGGUUAAGCUGGGGACUCUAGCGGGACUGCCACCGUAAGGUGAGAGGAAGUGGGAUGACGUCAAAUCAGCACGGCCCUUAUGUCCAGGGCUACACACGUGUUACAAUGGCCAGUACAAAGGGCAGCUACCGGGUGACCGGAUGCUAAUCUCUAAAGCUGGUCUCAGUUCGGAUCGAAGUCUGCAACCCGACUUCGUGAAGCUGGAUUCGCUAGUAAUCGCGCAUCAGCCAUGGCGCGGUGAAUACGUUCCCGGGCCUU
This 474-nucleotide ribosomal RNA is filed under the name uncultured Variovorax sp. RNAcentral's name for it is "bacterial SSU rRNA". It matches the Rfam family "Bacterial small subunit ribosomal RNA", at positions 906 to 1382 of the family's 1533-position model. Lineage: Bacteria; Pseudomonadati; Pseudomonadota; Betaproteobacteria; Burkholderiales; Comamonadaceae. The record is from RNAcentral.